RNAcentral lists this ribosomal RNA (392 nucleotides) under uncultured bacterium. Its description in RNAcentral is "bacterial SSU rRNA". It matches the Rfam family "Bacterial small subunit ribosomal RNA", at positions 30 to 418 of the family's 1533-position model. The record is from RNAcentral.
AUUGAACGCUGGCGGCAUGCCUUACACAUGCAAGUCGAACGGCAGCACGGGAGCUUGCUCCUGGUGGCGAGUGGCGAACGGGUGAGUAAUACAUCGGAACGUACCCUGACGUGGGGGAUAACGUAGCGAAAGUUACGCUAAUACCGCAUAUUCUGUGAGCAGGAAAGAGGGGGAUCGCAAGACCUCUUGCUUUAGGAGCGGCCGAUGUCGGAUUAGCUAGUUGGUGAGGUAAAAGGCUCACCAAGGCGACGAUCCGUAGCGGGUCUGAGAGGAUGAUCCGCCACACUGGGACUGAGACACGGCCCAGACUCCUACGGGAGGCAGCAGUGGGGAAUUUUGGACAAAUGGGCGCAAGCCUGAUCCAGCCAUGCCGCGUGAGUGAAGAAAGGCCU